GCACCCUUAGAACAAACGGAUAGUUCCCCUGUCUUCUAAACAGUUAGUUACAGGUUCGAAUCCUGUAGGGUGUGCCA
RNAcentral lists this transfer RNA (77 nucleotides) under Erwinia phage phiEa104. RNAcentral describes it as "transfer RNA-Arg". It matches the Rfam family "tRNA". From Rfam's summary of the family: Transfer RNA (tRNA) molecules are approximately 80 nucleotides in length. Their secondary structure includes four short double-helical elements and three loops (D, anti-codon, and T loops). Further hydrogen bonds mediate the characteristic L-shaped molecular structure. tRNAs have two regions of fundamental functional importance: the anti-codon, which is responsible for specific mRNA codon recognition, and the 3' end, to which the tRNAs corresponding amino acid is attached (by aminoacyl-tRNA synthetases). tRNAs cope with the degeneracy of the genetic code in two manners: having more than one tRNA (with a specific anti-codon) for a particular amino acid; and 'wobble' base-pairing, i.e. permitting non-standard base-pairing at the 3rd anti-codon position. Lineage: Duplodnaviria; Heunggongvirae; Uroviricota; Caudoviricetes; Andersonviridae. The record is from RNAcentral.